UGAAUACGAGAUGCUACGGCGUCGAAGCAAUCUAUGUCAUACUUCCAAGAAAAGCUCGCACUGUCAUAAACAAAUAAUGCCUGUACCAUAACCGACACAGGUGGGUAGGUAGAGUAUACUAAGGGGCGCGAGAUAACUCUCUCUAAGGAACUCGGCAAAAUGACUCCGUAACUUCGGGAGAAGGAGUGCCUUAUUUAUAAGGUUGCAAUAACAAGAUCCAAGCAACUGUUUAUCAAAAACACAGGUCUCCGCUAAGUCGUAAGACGAUGUAUGGGGGCUGACGCCUGCCCAGUGCCAGAAGGUUAAAGAAGUUGGUUAGCAUUCGCGAAGCUGAUAACUGAAGCCCUGGUGAACGGCGGCCGUAACGAUAACGGUCCUAAGGUAGCGAAAUUCCUUGUCGGGUAAGUUCCGACCCGCACGAAAGGCGUAAUGAUUUGGAUACUGUCUCGGAGAGGGGCUCGGUGAAAUAGACUUGUCUGUGAAGAUGCGGACUACCUGCACCAGGACAGAAAGACCCUAUGAAGCUUUACUGUAACUUGAGAUUGAAAUUGGACUUUACUUGCGCAGUAUAGGUGGGAGGCGUUGAUAAUAUUCUUGCGGGAUUAUUUGAGCCAUCAGUGAGAUACCACUCUUGUAAUGUUAGAUUUCUAACUUUGUAUCAUUAUCUGGUCAAAGGACAGUUUCAGGCGGGCAGUUUGACUGGGGCGGUCGCCUCCUAAACGGUAACGGAGGCGCACAAAGGUUUCCUCUGAACGGGUAGAAAUCGUAUCUAGAGUGUAAAGGCAUAAGGAAGCUUGACUGUGAGACCUACAAGUCGAGCAGGGACGAAAGUCGGUCUUAGUGAUCUGACGGCGCUGAGUGGAAAGGCCGUCACUCAACGGAUAAAAGUUACUCUAGGAUAACAGGCUGAUCUCCCCCAAGAGUUCACAUCGACGGGGAGGUUUGGCACCUGGAUGUCGGCUCAUCGCAUCCUGGGGCGGUAGUACGUCCCAAGGGUUGGGCUGUUCGCCCAUGAAAGCGGUACGCGAGCUGGGUUCAGAACGUCGUGAGACAGUUCGGUCCAUAUCCGGUGUAGGCGUUAGAAUAUUGAGAGGAGCCUUCUUUAGUACGAGAGGACCGAGAAGGACAUACCUCUGGUGUACCAGUUAUCGUGCCAACGGUAAACGCUGGGUAGCUAUGUAUGGAGUGGAUAACCGCUGAAAGCAUCUAAGUGGGAAGCCCACCUCAAGAUAAGUAUUCUC
RNAcentral lists this ribosomal RNA (1241 nucleotides) under metagenome. RNAcentral's name for it is "bacterial LSU rRNA". It matches the Rfam family "Bacterial large subunit ribosomal RNA", at positions 1564 to 2815 of the family's 2925-position model. The record is from RNAcentral.